RNAcentral lists this ribosomal RNA (499 nucleotides) under uncultured bacterium. RNAcentral describes it as "partial 16S ribosomal RNA". It matches the Rfam family "Bacterial small subunit ribosomal RNA", at positions 28 to 507 of the family's 1533-position model. The record is from RNAcentral.
GACGAACGCUGGCGGCGUGCUUAACACAUGCAAGUCGAACGGGCCCGCCCCUGUUUUUGGGGGUGGGUUGAGUGGCGAACGGGUGAGUAUCACGUGAGUAACCUGCCCCCUGCUCCUGGAUAACUGCUUGAAAGGGCGGCUAAUACGGGGUGUGCCGGCUGGUCCGCAUGGGCCUGGUCGGGAUAGUUUCAUCUUCGGGUGUUUCGGUGGGGGAUGGGCUCGCGGCCUAUCAGCUUGUUGGUGGGGUGAUGGCCCACCAAGGCGGUGACGGGUAGCCGGCCUGAGAGGGUGGGCGGCCAAACUGGGACGGAGACACGGCCCAGACGCCGGCGGGAGGCAGCAGUGGGGGGUAUUGCACAAUGGGCGGAAGCCUGAUGCAGCGACGGCGCGUGAGGGAUGGAGGCCGUCGGGUUGUGAACCUCUUUCUCCGGUGGUGAAGGCCCUGUCCGUUGCGGCGGGGUUGACGGUAGCCGGGUAUGAAGCGCCGGCUAACUACGUG